Molecule: unclassified non-coding RNA, 240 nt
Filed under: soil metagenome
Description: partial contains 5.8S ribosomal RNA, internal transcribed spacer 2, and large subunit ribosomal RNA
Source: RNAcentral
AACACUGUUAACCUGCGGUACCUGCGGAGGGAUCAUUACAGAGUUGCAAAACUCCCUAAACCAUUGUGAACGUUACCUAAACCGUUGCUUCGGCGGGCGGCCCGGGUCCUUCCCGGCGCCCCUCGGCCCUCGCGGGCGCCCGCCGGAGGUAAACCAAACUAUUGCAUUGUAUGGCCUCUCUGAGUCUUCUGUACUGAAUAAGCCAAAACUUUCAACAACGGAUCUCAGAUCGGAAGAGCA